RNAcentral lists this ribosomal RNA (795 nucleotides) under Plectosphaerella humicola. RNAcentral's name for it is "partial large subunit ribosomal RNA". It matches the Rfam family "Eukaryotic large subunit ribosomal RNA", at positions 98 to 917 of the family's 3401-position model. The record is from RNAcentral. Lineage: Eukaryota; Fungi; Ascomycota; Sordariomycetes; Glomerellales; Plectosphaerellaceae.
GCGGCAACAGCUCAAAUUUGAAAUCUGGCUCCUUCGGGGUCCGAGUUGUAAUUUGCAGAGGAUGCGUCGGGUACGGGUCCCUACCGAGUUCCCUGGAACGGGACGCCAUAGAGGGUGAGAGCCCCGUCUGGUAGGAUACCCAGCCCAUGUGACGCUCCCUCGACGAGUCGAGUAGUUUGGGAAUGCUGCUCUAACGGGAGGUAUACUCCUUCCAAAGCUAAAUACCGGCUGGAGACCGAUAGCGCACAAGUAGAGUGAUCGAAAGAUGAAAAGCACUUUGAAAAGAGAGUCAAACAGCACGUGAAAUUGUUAAAAGGGAAGCACUCGCUACCAGACUUGGGUUUGGCGGUUCAACCGGGGCCACGCCCCGGGGCAUUCCGCCAGCUCAGGCCAGCAUCAGCUUUCCGUCGGGGGCAAAGACGUCGGGAAUGUGGCUCCCCUUCGGGGGAGUGUUAUAGCCCGGCGUGUCAUACCCUUCGGGGGGCUGAGGUACGCGCUUCUGCAAGGAUGCUGGCGUAAUGGUAGCUAGUGACCCGUCUUGAAACACGGACCAAGGAGUCAACCUUAUGUGCGAGUGCCCGGGCGUAAAACCCCAGCGCGGAAUGAAAGUGAACGUAGGUGAGAGCUUCGGCGCAUCACCGACCGAUCCUGAUGUCCUCGGACGGAUUUGAGUGAGAGCAUAUAGGGUUGGACCCGAAAGAAGAUGAACUAUGCGUGUGUAGGGUGAAGCCAGAGGAAACUCUGGUGGAGGCUCGCAGCGGUUCUGACGUGCAAAUCGAUCGUCAAACAUGCGCA